AUUGAACGCUGGCGGCAGGCCUAACACAUGCAAGUCGAGCGGAUGAAGGGAGCUUGCUCCUGGAUUCAGCGGCGGACGGGUGAGUAAUGCCUAGGAAUCUGCCUGGUAGUGGGGGAUAACGUCCGGAAACGGGCGCUAAUACCGCAUACGUCCUGAGGGAGAAAGUGGGGGAUCUUCGGACCUCACGCUAUCAGAUGAGCCUAGGUCGGAUUAGCUAGUUGGUGGGGUAAAGGCCUACCAAGGCGACGAUCCGUAACUGGUCUGAGAGGAUGAUCAGUCAAACUGGAACUUGGACACGGUCCCGACUCCCUAGGGAGGCAGCAGUUGGGAAUAUUGGACAAUUGGCCAAAGGCUGAUCCCGGCCAGCCGCGGGGUGUAAGAAGGGUCUCCGGUUGUAAAACCCCUUUAGUUUGGAAGAAAGGCAGUAAGUUUAAACCUUGCCUUUUUGACGUUACCAACAGAAUAAGCACCGGCUAACUUCGUG
This 484-nucleotide ribosomal RNA is filed under the name uncultured bacterium. Its description in RNAcentral is "partial 16S ribosomal RNA". It matches the Rfam family "Bacterial small subunit ribosomal RNA", at positions 30 to 507 of the family's 1533-position model. The record is from RNAcentral.